RNAcentral lists this ribosomal RNA (432 nucleotides) under uncultured bacterium. RNAcentral's name for it is "partial 16S ribosomal RNA". It matches the Rfam family "Bacterial small subunit ribosomal RNA", at positions 29 to 506 of the family's 1533-position model. The record is from RNAcentral.
AACGAACGCUGGCGGCAGGCCUAACACAUGCAAGUCGAGCGCACCCUUCGGGGUGAGCGGCGGACGGGUGAGUAACGCGUGGGAACGUGCCCUUCUCUGCGGAAUAGCCUCGGGAAACUGAGAGUAAUACCGCAUACGCCCUUUGGGGGAAAGAUUUAUCGGAGAAGGAUCGGCCCGCGUUGGAUUAGGUAGUUGGUGGGGUAAUGGCCCACCAAGCCGACGAUCCAUAGCUGGUUUGAGAGGAUGAUCAGCCACACUGGGACUGAGACACGGCCCAGACUCCUACGGGAGGCAGCAGUGGGGAAUCUUAGACAAUGGGGGCAACCCUGAUCUAGCCAUGCCGCGUGAGUGAUGAAGGCCUUAGGGUUGUAAAGCUCUUUCAGCUGGGAAGAUAAUGACGGGACCAGCAGAAGAAGCCCCGGCUAACUCCGU